UGAUGAGAUGAUGAAAGAGAUUAAUUUCCCUAUUGGUUUGAUUGGCCAACAUGAUGGCCUAAAUACUGAAUCGAAUCGUUU
RNAcentral lists this small nucleolar RNA (81 nucleotides) under Brachypodium distachyon (stiff brome). RNAcentral's name for it is "Small nucleolar RNA Z102/R77". It matches the Rfam family "Small nucleolar RNA Z102/R77". From Rfam's summary of the family: Z102 and R77 and are members of the C/D class of snoRNA which contain the C (UGAUGA) and D (CUGA) box motifs. Most of the members of the box C/D family function in directing site-specific 2'-O-methylation of substrate RNAs. Lineage: Eukaryota; Viridiplantae; Streptophyta; Magnoliopsida; Poales; Poaceae. The record is from Rfam by way of RNAcentral.